AAGUGAGAAUGCCGGUGUGAGUAGCGAAAGACGGGUGAGAAUCCCGUCCACCGAUUGACUAAGGUUUCCAGAGGAAGGCUCGUCCGCUCUGGGUUAGUCGGGUCCUAAGCUGAGGCCGACAGGCGUAGGCGAUGGAUAACAGGUUGAUAUUCCUGUACCACCUAUAAUCGUUUUAAUCGAUGGGGGGACGCAGUAGGAUAGGCGAAGCGUGCGAUUGGAUUGCACGUCUAAGCAGUAAGGCUGAGUAUUAGGCAAAUCCGGUACUCGUUAAGGCUGAGCUGUGAUGGGGAGAAGACAUUGUGUCUUCGAGUCGUUGAUUUCACACUGCCGAGAAAAGCCUCUAGAUAGAAAAUAGGUGCCCGUACCGCAAACCGACACAGGUAGUCAAGAUGAGAAUUCUAAGGUGAGCGAGCGAACUCUCGUUAAGGAACUCGGCAAAAUGACCCCGUAACUUCGGGAGAAGGGGUGCUCUUUAGGGUUAACGCCCAGAAGAGCCGCAGUGAAUAGGCCCAAGCGACUGUUUAUCAAAAACACAGGUCUCUGCUAAACCGUAAGGUGAUGUAUAGGGGCUGACGCCUGCCCGGUGCUGGAAGGUUAAGAGGAGUGGUUAGCUUCUGCGAAGCUACGAAUCGAAGCCCCAGUAAACGGCGGCCGUAACUAUAACGGUCCUAAGGUAGCGAAAUUCCUUGUCGGGUAAGUUCCGACCCGCACGAAAGGCGUAACGAUUUGGGCACUGUCUCAACGAGAGACUCGGUGAAAUCAUAGUACCUGUGAAGAUGCAGGUUACCCGCGACAGGACGGAAAGACCCCGUGGAGCUUUACUGUAGCCUGAUAUUGAAAUUCGGCACAGCUUGUACAGGAUAGGUAGGAGCC
This 873-nucleotide ribosomal RNA is filed under the name Staphylococcus aureus. RNAcentral describes it as "partial 23S ribosomal RNA". It matches the Rfam family "Bacterial large subunit ribosomal RNA", at positions 1286 to 2155 of the family's 2925-position model. The record is from RNAcentral. Lineage: Bacteria; Bacillati; Bacillota; Bacilli; Caryophanales; Staphylococcaceae.